RNAcentral lists this ribosomal RNA (496 nucleotides) under uncultured bacterium. RNAcentral describes it as "partial 16S ribosomal RNA". It matches the Rfam family "Bacterial small subunit ribosomal RNA", at positions 29 to 507 of the family's 1533-position model. The record is from RNAcentral.
ACGAACGCUGGCGGCGUGCCUAAUCCAUGCAAGUAGCACGCUGAAGAGAGGAGCUUCCUCUUCUUGGAUGAGUUGCGAACGGGUGAGUAACGCGUAGGUAACCUGCCUUGUAGCGGGGGAUAACUAUUGGAAACGAUAGCUAAUACCGCAUAACAAUGGAUGACACAUGUCAUUUAUUUGAAAGGGGCAAUUGCUCCACUACAAGAUGGACCUGCGUUGUAUUAGCUAGUAGGUGAGGUAAUGGCUCACCUAGGCGACGAUACAUAGCCGACCUGAGAGGGUGAUCGGCCACACUGGGACUGAGACACGGCCCAGACUCCUACGGGAGGCAGCAGUAGGGAAUCUUCGGCAAUGGGGGCAACCCUGACCGAGCAACGCCGCGUGAGUGAAGAAGGUUUUCGGAUCGUAAAGCUCUGUUGUAAGUCAAGAACGGGUGUGAGAGUGGAAAGUUCACACUGUGACGGUAGCUUACCAGAAAGGGACGGCUAACUACGUG